Molecule: ribosomal RNA, 270 nt
Filed under: Apteronotus eschmeyeri
Lineage: Eukaryota; Metazoa; Chordata; Actinopteri; Gymnotiformes; Apteronotidae
Description: partial small subunit ribosomal RNA
Source: RNAcentral
GUCAGCUUACCCUGUGAAGGAUAAAUAGUAAGCAAAAUGAACAAAGCUCAAAACGUCAGGCCGAGGUGUAGCGAACGAGGUGGGAAGAAAUGGGCUACAUUUUCUACCAUAGAAUACUCACGAAUGACAUCCUGAAACACAUGCCUGAAGGUGGAUUUAGUAGUAAAAAGAAAACAGAGUGUUCUUUUGAAUCUGGCUCUGAGACGCGCACACACCGCCCGUCACCCUCCCCACUCAACCAUAAAUCAAGUAUUUAACACACCAACCUCA